Molecule: long non-coding RNA, 1924 nt
Organism: Homo sapiens (human)
Lineage: Eukaryota; Metazoa; Chordata; Mammalia; Primates; Hominidae
Product: long intergenic non-protein coding RNA 2907
Source: Ensembl
CUCCAGCCAGGGCUGAGUGGCAGUGUGGGCACCGCGGCCCGGGACGACAGCCUGGGCUCAGAGUCAGGCUUGUGGCUUCGCCUCUCAGCUUGCGUCUCCUCCCCUGUGGGAUGGGGGAUUCCGUGGCACCCCCAUGAUGAACAGGAUGCCAUGGGCCUCAGCCCAGGGCAGACCUCAGUGUCCUUCCUGUGGCCGCUGCUGGAGGUGCGUGACCACAACACAGGGAGGGGACUCGUCCCCGCCACUGUGCUGACGCCUGGGUCUCCAGAGACCCUCCUGGAACUCCGCCAGGCCUUCCUGGGUUCCAGACAGGCCCGCCACGGGCAUGACGCAGCGCCAUCUAGCGGACAGCAGGGCUGCAGCGUGGACAGAACGGCCGGACGCCCAGUCCUGGGCUGGCGGCUGAGGAACAGCCUCACAGGGCAAGAGGGCAGGCAACACCUGCAUCUUUCCGGCAUAAGAACCUCAAGAAAAGCAAAGGAAUAUAAGCCUGUGUUCUUUGGAGCCACCGAAAUCUCUGUUCUCAUGGCAGUCGCUGAAAGUUUAAGGGAGCCGCCACCGCCCCAAUGGGGUUGGUUUCUUUCUUCCCUGUUUUUAAAGAUCUUUUAAAAUGUCUAGAGAGACCCUGGGAUCCAGUGCUGGACGGAUGAUGCAGGGCCACACAGAGAGGCUAUUGUGUGUCACUUGCUGGGUUAGGAACAGACGGAUCAGGGCUUCUAUGCUGCGUCUGCCUGGUCCUGGGAGAGAGAAACUCACACAACCAUCUGCCUGGAAGACCUGGGCUUCUCAGGCUAGAGGGUCUGCACAUGUAGGUGUGUGUGCAUGCAUACAUAUGCCUGCGUGUGGAUGUCUGUGCUUCACACAAACAAGUGUACUUGUGGGCAUAUGUGUGUGUGUGCCUGCAUGUGCAGCUCUGGGUAUGUGUGUGUGCGCAUGCCCCUGAGUCUCUCUGCAUGUGAUGCAUUUGUGCAUGUGUGUGCCUGUGUGCCCGGGUCUGUGUCUAUAUAUAUGCAUGCAUGGAUAUGCAUACGUAUGUGCAUUUCUGCACAUGUGUGCGUAUGCCUGUAUGUGCCUGGCUAUGUGCACACACAUGUGAAUGUCUGAGCAGCUCCAGAGGGAGGGCCACCACCCUGCAUGGUGGACAUUAGUUUGAGCCUGUGAGGACCAGUGUCCCCCAAAGCCCCUCAACUACAGCCCAGCCCAACCCAACCCGGAGCAGAUCACAGGCCCCAGAGACAUCUCCAACCCUCACACAUGGUUCCCAAACCCGGGCUAUCCUUCACUCUGCAGGGGCGGGCCAGCCCUGCCCACUGCCAGGGACCCGCUCCAAGGCGCCUGCAGGAGGGCUGUGGGCGACAGUGUGGGCGCCCACCAGCAGGAGGGCCUGUCAUGGUCUGUGCACGAAGCUGGUGCGCUGUCUUCUCCAGGAACUCGCACCUUCGCUCCCCCUCCCCUGCCAGCCAACACUUUCAGGUUUCUGCCAUAAAAGAGAAAAAAAUCUCCCUCCCUCUCUACCCGCUCCGCGCCUGCUCCUUCUCCACUUUUUGCAGAUCAAACAGCAUGCAUGGAGUCGAGCCUGCUGGCUCUGUUCCGAGCUGCACUUUGGGCAUCCGUGGGCUGCCUUGCUCCUUGUGGGGUGGCUUCAAGAGCAGGUCCCAGGUGUGCCUGCAGCAGUGCCGACACCCCUGAGAACACAGCGCACCCCAGCUUUCGGCGCCAACCACACAGCCAGCAACUGGGCUUGGAAGCUUCCCUGAGGUCGACGCUGCCUGGAAAUGGACUUUGCUGCCUGCAUUCAGGCCAGGGGCCAUGUUUGCUCCCCCAUUACAAGUUGGCCUCAUAUUAACAUGUCUGAGGACUAAGGCUGGUAUUCUAGAACACGCCUUUCACUGAUUGUGUUAAAUAAAAGAGAAAGAUGAAAAAA